RNAcentral lists this ribosomal RNA (467 nucleotides) under uncultured bacterium. Its description in RNAcentral is "partial 16S ribosomal RNA". It matches the Rfam family "Bacterial small subunit ribosomal RNA", at positions 28 to 507 of the family's 1533-position model. The record is from RNAcentral.
GACGAACGCUGGCGGCGUGCUUAACACAUGCAAGUCGAACGGAAAGGCCCUGCUUUUGUGGGGUGCUCGAGUGGCGAACGGGUGAGUAACACGUGAGUAACCUGCCCUUGACUUUGGGAUAACUUCAGGAAACUGGGGCUAAUACCGGAUAGGAGCUCCUGCUGCAUGGUGGGGGUUGGAAAGUUUCGGCGGUUGGGGAUGGACUCGCGGCUUAUCAGCUUGUUGGUGGGGUAGUGGCUUACCAAGGCUUUGACGGGUAGCCGGCCUGAGAGGGUGACCGGCCCAAUGGGAAUGAGAAACGGGCCCGACUCCUCCGGGAGGGAGGAGGGGGGGAUAUUGCCCAAAGGGGGGAAGCCCGAAGGAGGGAAGCCGCGUGGGGGAUGACGGGCUUCGGGGUGUAAACCCCUUUUCGCCGGGAAGGAGGGGGAGGGAAGGGAAAUGGGGAAAAAGGGCCGGCCAAAUACGGG